CGUGACUGUCAUCCCAUUGGGGAUGUCAUUAUAAAAAGCGUAGCGACACAAUUCAAAUGAGAGUAAUUGUUAGCCGUUCGGGAGAAUUUAACGAAAUUAAAGAAGAGUAAUUCAGUUAGAAUAAAGAAAUAGGAUAGAGCAAUUGUGAUUAGUUGGUUCAGUAGAAUUUAGCGAAAAUAGAAUAGAGUAAUUGUUAGCGUCCGGGAGAAUUUAACGAAAUUAAAGAAGAGUAAUUCAGUUAGAAUAAAGAAAUAGGAUAGAGCAAUUGUGAUUAGUUGGUUCAGUAGAAUUUAGCGAAAAUAGAAUAGAGUAAUUGUUAGCGUCCGGGAGAAUUUAACGAAAUUAAAGAAGAGUAAUUGUGAUCAGUUGAUUUAAUUAGAAUUUAAGUUAGGAUUAGAGAAUAAUUGUUCGUUCCAGUUCGAGUUUAAGAGUUACGAGAUAUAAAUGUUAUUAGUCAGUUAGAAUUAAAACAAUAGUUGGCUCAAGUUUUUGUGUUAGAAUUUCGAAUUGUUAAACACGGCCGGACACACUGUUGUUUACACUAUUCAAGUUAAAUAAAGAUUAAAACAAAAAA
This 574-nucleotide unclassified non-coding RNA is filed under the name Bombus terrestris (buff-tailed bumblebee). RNAcentral describes it as "misc RNA ENSBTSG00005032663.1". The record is from RNAcentral. Lineage: Eukaryota; Metazoa; Arthropoda; Insecta; Hymenoptera; Apidae.